This 249-nucleotide ribosomal RNA is filed under the name uncultured bacterium. RNAcentral's name for it is "partial 16S ribosomal RNA". It matches the Rfam family "Bacterial small subunit ribosomal RNA", at positions 15 to 257 of the family's 1533-position model. The record is from RNAcentral.
GAUCAUGGCUCAGGAUGAACGCUAGCUACAGGCUUAACACAUGCAAGUCGAGGGGCAUCGGGAAGAAAGCUUGCUUUCUUUGCCGGCGACCGGCGCACGGGUGAGUAACACGCAUCCAACCUGCCCUUUACUCGGGAGUAGCCUUUCGAAAGAAAGAUUAAUACCGAUGGCAUAAUGAUUCCGCAUGGUUUCAUUAUUAAAGGAUUCCGGUAAAGGAUGGGGAUGCGUUCCAUUAGGUUGUUGGUGAGG